UCGUCGUGUAAUCCGCAGGUUAUACGAACAUCGACCAGUCGAACGCACAUUGCGGCCUCGGUGACCCGCGGGUCCCGGGCCACGCCUGUCUGAGGGUCG
Non-coding RNA from Acyrthosiphon pisum (pea aphid), 99 nucleotides. The record is from Rfam. Lineage: Eukaryota; Metazoa; Arthropoda; Insecta; Hemiptera; Aphididae.